This 253-nucleotide ribosomal RNA is filed under the name uncultured bacterium. RNAcentral's name for it is "partial 16S ribosomal RNA". It matches the Rfam family "Bacterial small subunit ribosomal RNA", at positions 524 to 776 of the family's 1533-position model. The record is from RNAcentral.
UACAGAGGGAGCAAGCGUUAUUCGGAAUUAUUGGGCGUAAAGGGCGCGUAGGCGGCCUGGCAAGUGGAAGGUGAAAUCCCUCGGCUUAACCGAGGAACUGCCCUCCAAACUGCUUGGCUUGAGUCCGGGAGAGGUGAGUGGAAUUCCCAGUGUAGAGGUGAAAUUCGUAGAUAUUGGGAAGAACACCGGUGGCGAAGGCGGCGACCUGGUCCGAUACUGACGCUGAGGCGCGAAAGCGUGGGGAGCAAACAGG